CUAUUUGUGUAUCUAUCUAUCUCUCUAUCAAUAUUUCUCUCUAUUUUUGUUUAUUUUUCUAUAUAGGUAUGUAUGUUUACGUGUAUGUGUGCAUGCAUGUAUUUAUCCAUCCAUCCGUCUAUCUAGCCAUCCAUUUUUGCGUCCAACUAUCUAUAUGCCCCUAUCUCUUUGUGUCUUUCUCACUCUCUCUCUUUUAAACUUUUUCUACCAAUCUUUCUGUCUUUCUGUCUCUUUUUCUAGAUCUGCCUGUCUGUUUCUCCAUGUAUGUAUGUAGGUAUGUAUGCAUCUAUAAAUCUAUCCAUCCAUUUAUCUGUCUCUUUAUCCCUGUCCAUGUGUCUUAUCAUCUAUCCCUCUAACUAGACAUUCAUUUAUCUUUUUAUCUCUUUCUUUUUACCAAUUGUUCUCUCUUUAUCUUUUUUCUAAUUGUCUGUUUCUUUUUUGUCUUUGUUUAUAUAUGUAUAUAUGAAUCUAUCCAUCUCUCUAUCUCUCUCUCUCUCUUUCUUCCUUCCCUUCUCUUUAUCUAGCUGUUUUUCCAUGUAUGUAUCUAUCCAUCCAUCUUUCUGUCUCUUUCUUUCUACCAAUAUUUCUCUCUCCUUCUUUCUGUCUCUUUCUCUACUUUCUGUGUGUGUGUUUCUCAAUGUACAUAUGUUUGCAUGCAUAUAUCUAUUCAUAUAUACAUACAUCUAUUGGUCCAUCUAUCUGUAUGUCCAUCUCUCUGGCUAUCAAUCCAUCCAUGUAUCAUUGUAUCUAUGCAUCUAUCUAUCUAUCUUUCUACCAUCUCUCUAUUUUUAUAUCUCUUUCUUUCUAGGACUCUCUCUUUCUAGUUGUCUGUCUCUUUUUCUAGAGAUCUGUGUUUGUGUUUCUCUAUGUACAUAUCUUUCAGUGCACUUAUGUAUCUAUCCAUCCAUCCAUCUCUCUAUCAAUCCAAUUGUGCAUCCCACUAUCUGUAUGGACAUCUCUAUUUUUUAACUCUCAAAUCUUUCUCUUUCUUCUUUUUCUGUUUCUUUGUUUAGCUCUGUUUCUCCAUUUAUGUAUACAUGAAUGAAUCUCAAUUUAUCAAUCCAUAAAUCUCUCUGUCUAUGUAUCCAUCUGUCUAUCCGUACAACUGUCUUCCUUUCAUCUAUCCCUCUAUCAAUACAUUCAUCUUUUAUCUCUCUUUCUACCACUCAAUCUCUAUCUUUUUUUCUAAUUGUCUCUUUUUUGUCUCUCUAUGUAUGUAUGUAUGUAUGCAUGAAUGUAUGUAUGAAUUUAUCUAUCAAUCCAUCCAAUCAUGUAUCUAUCCAUCAAUUCCUUUGAGU
RNAcentral lists this long non-coding RNA (1298 nucleotides) under Monodelphis domestica (gray short-tailed opossum). Its description in RNAcentral is "lncRNA (ENSMODG00000042218.1)". Lineage: Eukaryota; Metazoa; Chordata; Mammalia; Didelphimorphia; Didelphidae. The record is from RNAcentral.